This 254-nucleotide ribosomal RNA is filed under the name uncultured bacterium. RNAcentral's name for it is "partial 16S ribosomal RNA". It matches the Rfam family "Bacterial small subunit ribosomal RNA", at positions 524 to 776 of the family's 1533-position model. The record is from RNAcentral.
UACGUAGGGACCAAGCGUUGUUCGGAUUUACUGGGCGUAAAGGGCUCGUAGGCGGCGCGGUAAGUCACUUGUGAAAUCUCUGAGCUUAACUCAGAACGGCCAAGUGAUACUGCAGUGCUAGAGUGUGGAAGGGGCAAUCGGAAUUCUUGGUGUAGCGGUGAAAUGCGUAGAUAUCAAGAGGAACACCUGAGGUGGAGACGGGUUGCUGGGCUGACACUGACGCUGAGUGCGCGAAAGCCAGGGGAGCAAACGGG